Molecule: RNase P RNA, 375 nt
Filed under: Salmonella enterica subsp. enterica serovar Ball
Lineage: Bacteria; Pseudomonadati; Pseudomonadota; Gammaproteobacteria; Enterobacterales; Enterobacteriaceae
Description: RNase P RNA component class A
Rfam family: Bacterial RNase P class A
About the family: Ribonuclease P (RNase P) is a ubiquitous endoribonuclease, found in archaea, bacteria and eukarya as well as chloroplasts and mitochondria. Its best characterised activity is the generation of mature 5'-ends of tRNAs by cleaving the 5'-leader elements of precursor-tRNAs. Cellular RNase Ps are ribonucleoproteins.
Source: RNAcentral
GAAGCUGACCAGACAGUCGCCGCUUCGUCGUCGUCCUUUCGGGGAGACGGGCGGAGGGGAGGAAAGUCCGGGCUCCAUAGGGCAGGGUGCCAGGUAACGCCUGGGGGGGAAACCCACGACCAGUGCAACAGAGAGCAGACCGCCGAUGGCCCACGUAAGUGGGAUCAGGUAAGGGUGAAAGGGUGCGGUAAGAGCGCACCGCGCGGCUGGUAACAGUCCGUGGCAUGGUAAACUCCACCCGGAGCAAGGCCAAAUAGGGGUUCAUAAGGUACGGCCCGUACUGAACCCGGGUAGGCUGCUUGAGCCAGUGAGCGAUUGCUGGCCUAGAUGAAUGACUGUCCACGACAGAACCCGGCUUAUCGGUCAGUUUCACCU